Long non-coding RNA from Myotis myotis, 1740 nucleotides. RefSeq lists it as uncharacterized. The record is from RefSeq and is a predicted model, not a curated record. The transcript has 3 exons. Lineage: Eukaryota; Metazoa; Chordata; Mammalia; Chiroptera; Vespertilionidae.
AAACAACAAUUUCCCUUUACAUCUUUAGAAACUCAUUUUAUAUACAGUUUUUUUAAUAUAUGGGGUCUUUGUUUUGUGUUUUUCCCAAAGAGUAUAGAGUUAACUUCUUAAUAAUGUGAUUUCCUCUUUACUGACAUGAAGAAGUUUAAUGUCUUACCUUAGAAAAAUAUACACUUCAGCCAGCAUAUAUUUUAUGGAAAUGAUUGAAGAACCAUUAGUCUUUAUACAAUAAUAAUAUCAGUCAAAUAUAUAAGCACAUUUGAAAUUGAGCUAAAAAAAGGGGGAAAAAGAGAAAGAACUCAUGGACACGGACAGCAGUGUGGUGAUUGCCAGGGGGAAGGAUUUGUGUUUUAAAUUCUCUACACUAUUAACAAUUAUUAUUGGAUUUCUGUUUUAAUGUCACAUUACAGUUUUGAUUAAAUCUUCUCUUAACUUCAGGAUUUGCAAAGAGGGAGAGGCUGAAAAAUCAAUUAUUAUAAAUGAAAUAACUUUAACAAAAAGUGAAAAUGCAAUGAUUAUGCUAAAUUACAUUGAAAAAAUUGGGUUACUCUCUGAAAAAUUCCAAAGGCAGAGUUUUGCUGUCCCGAUUUCUCAUAAUGGACCCAGCUAACUGAAGUACGAAGUCAAGUUUAUAUCUUUUCUGUUGUAUGGUGAGUUACCAAACUAUCUUUUUCUCCAACAUUUGAAUUUCAUGUCUAAGAGUUUAAGGAAUGUAUGGCUUGGUGCAUUUGAUGUGGCACAGUUCCACAUGUGAGGGAUGGUGAUUUGAAUAGUAUGAUAGAAGUACGUGCCAAGAAUAAUUGGCUUCUGUAUUGCAGAACAGCUCAAAUACUAUGUGUAUCACAGCAUGUAAUUUGGGUGUACAAGAUGCCUGUAGUUCAAAGUGCUUUACUCCUCUGCAGUGGCAAGUUGAGCUUCCUGUUGGCUGGCUCCUGUGUUUGCAUUAAACAGCCCGGGUGCAGUUAGAAAGAGAGCACACAUCUAGUAAGUGCAUUCUCAUAAUCCUUCAAAUGAGACAGACCUUAACUCCAGGAUCCUUUCCCUCCCUGCCUGCCACCCGCCCUCCAUCCCUCCCUUCAAUUCUUCCUUCCUUCUACCGAGCAUGAUGCAAAGCAGUUCUUCCCCUGCUUACUUUGACUUUUUGGUCAACUUUCUUGAACAGUAUUUCUUGCUAUUAUUAAGAAUUACCUGAGGCUUCGCUACAACAUCCAGAGUCCUAGGCUACUACGCUUUGAAUCUGAUUUAGUAAGCUUGGGAAGGAAUAAGAGAACUUACGUUGAGCAGCUCAAGUGAUUCUUAUAAUCAGGCUAGUUUGAGAAACACUAAAGUUCUCACAUGUUAAGGCUUUGGAGUGAGAUAACCCCAUUUAUAAAUACUUGUGUGACUUUGGGUAAAUUCCCUAAACUUUCUGAGCCCUGGUUUUUAUGUGUAAAAGAGAGAUAUACUAGCUCACUGUAUUGCUAUAAUUGCUGUAAAUGCCUUUCUGAGGGUCUAUGGUUUGUCAGGAAUUUGAACAUACAUUAUCCAAUUCAUUAUCAUGAUAAGGCCUAUGUGUAAUAGAUAUUAUGUAACAGAUAUGUAAACUGAGGCUCAGGGAUAACUUUACAUUUAGUAAGUGGCAGAUUCAAAUGUAGUAUUAGAGGCCCAGUCUAGUACUUCUACUCUAUAUAACAACCUUUGCCCUUCAUCAUUGAGUCUGUUUUUAAAUAAUAUCUACACCCCUACCCACACACACACAUA